ACUCAAAGGAAUUGACGGGGACCCGCACAAGCGGUGGAGCAUGUGGUUUAAUUCGAAGCAACGCGAAGAACCUUACCAAGUCUUGACAUCGGAAUGACCGGAACUUAACCGUUCCUUUUCUUCGGAACAUUCCAGACAGGUGGUGCAUGGUUGUCGUCAGCUCGUGUCGUGAGAUGUUGGGUUAAGUCCCGCAACGAGCGCAACCCUUAUCCUAAGUAGCCAGCAGUCCGGCUGGGCACUCUUGGGAGACUGCCAGGGAUAACCUGGAGGAAGGUGGGGAUGACGUCAAAUCAUCAUGCCCCUUAUGAUUUGGGCUACACACGUGCUACAAUGGCGUAAACAAAGGGAAGCGAAGCUGUGAAGCUAAGCAAAUCUCAAAAAUAACGUCUCAGUUCGGAUUGUAGUCUGCAACUCGACUACAUGAAGCUGGAAUCGCUAGUAAUCGCGGAUCAAAAUGCCGCGGUGAAUACGUUCCCGGGUCUUGUACACACCGCCCGUCACACCAUGGGAGUCAGUAACGCCCGAAGUCAGUGACCCAACCGAAAGGAGGGAGCUGCCGAAGGCGGGACCGAUAACUGGGGUGAAGUCG
Molecule: ribosomal RNA, 589 nt
Filed under: uncultured bacterium
Lineage: Bacteria
Description: bacterial SSU rRNA
Rfam family: Bacterial small subunit ribosomal RNA
Source: RNAcentral